UUCUUGUUCCUUUCUCGAUUCAAUUUCUGCUAGCGAUUCAUCCAUGUGCACGUUCCAUUUGUGCGCUACAAUUUAUCAUGGCUAGGACUAACUUCGUGUGUUCUGGUCCUUUGGAAGCUCCGUGGCACCAAGUUUUCUUGCAGAAAUUAAAAAUCCAGUGAAUGCAUACGUUUAUUGAUGACAACUAACAAGGUCCAUGUGACGGUUUGUCGACACUGCUGGAUUGGCUUAUCUGCCAUGGUGCAUUGCUUUUAAUGCAAGAUCAAAAUUUGAAGAUGGCAACUAAGGGGUUGAUCCAUUACUUUUUUUGUUACCUUCUAAUUUAUAAUGAAAUGUCACUGCAUAUUGUCUUGUAUCUUGUGAAAUUUGGUGUUGUAAUUCAGAAAAUGGGUUGUAAUUGCUUAUUGUGAUUUCUUGGAUGAAAAUAUUGUUUUAAUAAGUGGGCUUGAAAAACUGGUGGGCUGUUUUUUUGUAUGGGCUGUGUAUAAAGCUGAAUUUGGUUAGCUAAUAAUGAAUGUUUGGGCUGAAAUUA
This is a long non-coding RNA of Panicum virgatum (switchgrass), 532 nucleotides long. RefSeq lists it as uncharacterized. The record is from RefSeq and is a predicted model, not a curated record. Lineage: Eukaryota; Viridiplantae; Streptophyta; Magnoliopsida; Poales; Poaceae. The transcript has 2 exons.